UCUUGUAAUUGGAAUGAGUACAAUUUAAACCUCUUAACGAGGAACAAUUGGAGGGCAAGUCUGGUGCCAGCAGCCGCGGUAAUUCCAGCUCCAAUAGCGUAUAUUAAAGUUGUUGCAGUUAAAAAGCUCGUAGUUGAAACUUGGGCCUGGCUGGCGGGUCCGCCUCACCGCGUGCACUCGUCCGGCCGGGCCUUCCUUCUGAAGAACCUCAUGCCCUUCACUGGGCGUGCUGGGGAAUCAGGACUUUUACUUUGAAAAAAUUAUAGUGUUCAAAGCAGGCCUUUGCUCGAAUACGUUAGCAUGGAAUAAUAAAAUAGGGCGUGCGUUUCUAUUUUGUUGGUUUCUAGAGACGCCGCAAUGAUUAACAGGAACAGUCGGGGGCAUCAGUAUUCAGUUGUCAGAGGUGAAAAUUCUUGGAUUUACUGAAGACUAACUACUGCGAAAGCAUUUGCCAAGGAUGUUUUCAUUAAUCAGUGAACGAAAGUUAGGGGAUCGAAGACGAUCAGAUACCGUCGUAGUCUUAACCGUAAACUAUGCCGACUAGGGAUCGGGCGAUGUUCUUUUUCUGACUCGCUCGGCACCUUACGAGAAAUCAAAGUUUUUGGGUUCUGGGGGGAUUAUGGUCGCAAGGUUGAAACUUAUGAAAUAAGGAUUGACAGAUUGAGAGCUCUUUCUUGAUUUUUCAGGUGGUGGUGCAUGGCCGUUCUUAGUUCGUGGGGUGACUUGUCUGCUUAAUUGCGAUAACGAGCGAGACCUUACUCUGCUAAAUAGCCAGGCUAACUUUGGUUGGUCGCCGGCUUCUUAGAGAGACUAUCAACUCAAGUUGAUGGAAGUUUGAGGCAAUAACAGGUCUGUGAUGCCCUUAGAUGUUCUGGGCCGCACGCGCGCUACACUGACAGAGCCAACGAGUUCUUUUCCUUGUUCGAAAGAAUUGGGUAAUCUUGUUAAACUCUGUCGGCUGGGGAUAAAGCAUUGCAAUUAUUGCUUUUCAACGAGGAAUGCCUAGUAAGCGCGUGUCAUCAGCAUGCGUUGAUUACGUCCCUGACCUUUGUACACACCGCCCGUCGCUACUACCGAUUGAAUGGCUCAGUGAGGCCUUCGGACUGGCUCGAGGAGGUUGG
RNAcentral lists this ribosomal RNA (1121 nucleotides) under fungal sp. Its description in RNAcentral is "SSU rRNA". It matches the Rfam family "Eukaryotic small subunit ribosomal RNA", at positions 501 to 1732 of the family's 1831-position model. The record is from RNAcentral. Lineage: Eukaryota; Fungi.